RNAcentral lists this transfer RNA (62 nucleotides) under Gryllotalpa orientalis (oriental mole cricket). Its description in RNAcentral is "tRNA-Ala". It matches the Rfam family "tRNA". From Rfam's summary of the family: Transfer RNA (tRNA) molecules are approximately 80 nucleotides in length. Their secondary structure includes four short double-helical elements and three loops (D, anti-codon, and T loops). Further hydrogen bonds mediate the characteristic L-shaped molecular structure. tRNAs have two regions of fundamental functional importance: the anti-codon, which is responsible for specific mRNA codon recognition, and the 3' end, to which the tRNAs corresponding amino acid is attached (by aminoacyl-tRNA synthetases). tRNAs cope with the degeneracy of the genetic code in two manners: having more than one tRNA (with a specific anti-codon) for a particular amino acid; and 'wobble' base-pairing, i.e. permitting non-standard base-pairing at the 3rd anti-codon position. Lineage: Eukaryota; Metazoa; Arthropoda; Insecta; Orthoptera; Gryllotalpidae. The record is from RNAcentral.
AGGAUUAUAGUUAAAUAUAACGCUUGAUUUGCACUCAAGAAAUACUGCUUUCAGUUAAUCUU